Molecule: ribosomal RNA, 793 nt
Filed under: uncultured bacterium
Lineage: Bacteria
Description: bacterial SSU rRNA
Rfam family: Bacterial small subunit ribosomal RNA
Source: RNAcentral
UUUGAUCAUGGCUCAGAUUGAACGCUGGCGGCAGGCCUAACACAUGCAAGUCGAGCGGUAGCACAGGAGAGCUUGCUCUCUGGGUGACGAGCGGCGGACGGGUGAGUAAUGUCUGGGAAACUGCCUGAUGGAGGGGGAUAACUACUGGAAACGGUAGCUAAUACCGCAUAACGUCUUCGGACCAAAGUGGGGGACCUUCGGGCCUCACGCCAUCAGAUGUGCCCAGAUGGGAUUAGCUAGUAGGUGGGGUAAUGGCUCACCUAGGCGACGAUCCCUAGCUGGUCUGAGAGGAUGACCAGCCACACUGGAACUGAGACACGGUCCAGACUCCUACGGGAGGCAGCAGUGGGGAAUAUUGCACAAUGGGCGCAAGCCUGAUGCAGCCAUGCCGCGUGUGUGAAGAAGGCCUUCGGGUUGUAAAGCACUUUCAGCGAGGAGGAAGGGCAGUGUGUUAAUAGCACAUUGCAUUGACGUUACUCGCAGAAGAAGCACCGGCUAACUCCGUGCCAGCAGCCGCGGUAAUACGGAGGGUGCAAGCGUUGAUCGGAAUUACUGGGCGUAAAGCGCACGCAGGCGGUUUGUUAAGUCAGAUGUGAAAUCCCCGCGCUUAACGUGGGAACUGCAUUUGAAACUGGCAAGCUAGAGUCUUGUAGAGGGGGGUAGAAUUCCAGGUGUAGCGGUGAAAUGCGUAGAGAUCUGGAGGAAUACCGGUGGCGAAGGCGGCCCCCUGGACAAAGACUGACGCUCAGGUGCGAAAGCGUGGGGAGCAAACAGGAUUAGAUACCCUGGUAGU